CCUACGGGCGGCAGCAGUGGGGAAUAUUGCACAAUGGGGGAAACCCUGAUGCAGCGACGCCGCGUGAGUGAAGAAGUAUUUCGGUACGUAAAGCUCUAUCAGCAGGGAAGAAAACGACGGUACUUGACUAAGAAGCCCCGGCUAACUACGUGCCAGCAGCCGCGGUAAUACGUCGGGGGCAAGCGUUAUCCGGAUUUACUGGGGGUAAAGGGAGCGUAGACGGCAGCGCAAGUCUGGAGUGAAAUCCCAUGGCUUAACCAUGGAACUGCUUUGGAAACUGUGCAGCUAGAGUGCAGGAGAGGUAAGCGGAAUUCCUAGUGUAGCGGUGAAAUGCGUAGAGAUUAGGAGGAACACCAGUGGCGAAGGCGGCUUACUGGACUGUAACUGACGUUGAGGCGCGAAAGCGUGGGGAGCAAACAGGAUUAGAUACCCGAGUAGUC
RNAcentral lists this ribosomal RNA (440 nucleotides) under uncultured bacterium. RNAcentral describes it as "partial 16S ribosomal RNA". It matches the Rfam family "Bacterial small subunit ribosomal RNA", at positions 338 to 795 of the family's 1533-position model. The record is from RNAcentral.